This 72-nucleotide transfer RNA is filed under the name Caudoviricetes sp. RNAcentral describes it as "tRNA-Glu". It matches the Rfam family "tRNA". From Rfam's summary of the family: Transfer RNA (tRNA) molecules are approximately 80 nucleotides in length. Their secondary structure includes four short double-helical elements and three loops (D, anti-codon, and T loops). Further hydrogen bonds mediate the characteristic L-shaped molecular structure. tRNAs have two regions of fundamental functional importance: the anti-codon, which is responsible for specific mRNA codon recognition, and the 3' end, to which the tRNAs corresponding amino acid is attached (by aminoacyl-tRNA synthetases). tRNAs cope with the degeneracy of the genetic code in two manners: having more than one tRNA (with a specific anti-codon) for a particular amino acid; and 'wobble' base-pairing, i.e. permitting non-standard base-pairing at the 3rd anti-codon position. Lineage: Duplodnaviria; Heunggongvirae; Uroviricota; Caudoviricetes. The record is from RNAcentral.
GGGACGUUGGACAAAUGGUUAAGUUGACACCCUUUCACGGUGUAGAUGCGAGUCCGAUUCUCGCACGUCCUA